This 186-nucleotide small RNA is filed under the name Arabidopsis thaliana (thale cress). RNAcentral's name for it is "ATSL276370". Lineage: Eukaryota; Viridiplantae; Streptophyta; Magnoliopsida; Brassicales; Brassicaceae. The record is from RNAcentral.
AAAAACCCUUUUCCAAACCAAUUCCAAUCAACUGGUAACCCAUAAAUUAAGUGAGGAUCUAUAAAUUAAAACACAAACCCAAACAUCAAUCUAUUUACUGUUGAAGUUUCAAAACGAAAAAACUUUGAAAUUGCUACAACAGAGAAGUUAAUCGGCAUUUGAAAUCUUCUUUGAAGGUUUUUGAAA